UACGAAGGUCCCGAGCGUUGUUCGGAAUCACUGGGCGUAAAGGGAGCGUAGGCGGCAUGGUAAGUCAGAUGUGAAAUCCCGGGGCUCAACCCCGGAACUGCAUCCGAUACUGCCUUGCUUGAGGGUUGGAGAGGUGACUGGAAUUAUCGGUGUAGCAGUGAAAUGCGUGGAUAUCGAUAGGAACACUCGUGGCGAAGGCGAGUCACUGGACAACAUCUGACGCUGAGGCUCGAAGGCUAGGGGAGCAAAA
Molecule: ribosomal RNA, 250 nt
Filed under: uncultured bacterium
Lineage: Bacteria
Description: partial 16S ribosomal RNA
Rfam family: Bacterial small subunit ribosomal RNA
Source: RNAcentral